Molecule: long non-coding RNA, 372 nt
Organism: Hemicordylus capensis (graceful crag lizard)
Lineage: Eukaryota; Metazoa; Chordata; Lepidosauria; Squamata; Cordylidae
Exons: 3
Source: RefSeq, a predicted model, not a curated record
GAAAUAGUCUUAUCUUUAUCCCAUGGUUAUGCAUAUAUUGCUCAGUUUCAGAUGAGCAUCUCAAAGGACUAACUGGCUCUGAAAAGCAAGGCUUUACUGCUAUGCCAACAUUUAACAAGGAAUUACUUCAGACAUCUCAUCAAGCUUUUACUUAGACAACAGAAAACUGCCAAGUUUACUAUUGCUGUGGAUUAGGGCCAAUAGCACCAUUCCCGCUUAGCUGUAGGAUAUAUUGGAAAGAAAUGACACGAGCUUCUUGUGGACCAAGCCUCAAGAUCUGGUGGAAAUGAUUGGUUCAGCAGAUGGAAGCUAUUAGUUUCACGCUCGGAAAUAACAUUGGAUUUGAACUGCAGCUGAGCAGGUGUGUCCUGC